AGUGAACGCUGGCGGUAGGCCUAACACAUGCAAGUCGAACGGCAGCACAGUAAGAGCUUGCUCUUACGGGUGGCGAGUGGCGGACGGGUGAGGAAUAAAUCGGAAUCUACUUUUUCGUGGGGGAUAACGUAGGGAAACUUACGCUAAUACCGCAUACGACCUACGGGUGAAAGCAGGGGAUCUUCGGACCUUGCGCGAUUGAAUGAGCCGAUGUCGGAUUAGCUAGUUGGCGGGGUAAAGGCCCACCAAGGCGACGAUCCGUAGCUGGUCUGAGAGGAUGAUCAGCCACACUGGAGCUGAGACACGGUCCAGACUCCUACGGGAGGCAGCAGUGGGGAAUAUUGGACAAUGGGCGCAAGCCUGAUCCAGCCAUACCGCGUGGGUGAAGAAGGCCUUCGGGUUGUAAAGCCCUUUUGUUGGGAAAGAAAAGCAGCAGGUUAAUACCCCGCUGUUCUGACGGUACCCAAAGAAUGAGCACCGGCUAACUUCGU
This 491-nucleotide ribosomal RNA is filed under the name uncultured bacterium. Its description in RNAcentral is "partial 16S ribosomal RNA". It matches the Rfam family "Bacterial small subunit ribosomal RNA", at positions 29 to 506 of the family's 1533-position model. The record is from RNAcentral.